Molecule: ribosomal RNA, 253 nt
Filed under: uncultured bacterium
Lineage: Bacteria
Description: partial 16S ribosomal RNA
Rfam family: Bacterial small subunit ribosomal RNA
Source: RNAcentral
UACGUAGGGGGCUAGCGUUGUCCGGAAUCAUUGGGCGUAAAGCGCGCGUAGGCGGCCCGGUAAGUCCGCUGUAAAAGUCAAAGGCUCAACCUUUGAAUGUCAGUGGAUACUGCCGGGCUAGAGUCCGGAAGAGGCGAGUGGAACUCCUGGUGUAGCGGUGAAAUGCGCAGAUAUCGGGAGGAACACCUAUGGCGAAGGCAGCUCGCUGGGACGUUACUGACGCUGAGACGCGAAAGCGUGGGGAGCAAACAGG